Molecule: ribosomal RNA, 433 nt
Filed under: uncultured bacterium
Lineage: Bacteria
Description: partial 16S ribosomal RNA
Rfam family: Bacterial small subunit ribosomal RNA
Source: RNAcentral
AACGAACGCUGGCGGCAGGCCUAACACAUGCAAGUCGAGCGAGGACUUCGGUUCUAGCGGCGGACGGGUGAGUAACGCGUGGGAAUGUGCCCUUCUCUACGGAAUAGCCCUGGGAAACUGGGAGUAAUACCGUAUACGCCCUAUUGGGGAAAGAUUUAUCGGAGAAGGAUCAGCCCGCGUUGGAUUAGGUAGUUGGUGGGGUAAUGGCCUACCAAGCCGACGAUCCAUAGCUGGUUUGAGAGGAUGGUCAGCCACACUGGGACUGAGACACGGCCCAGACUCCUACGGGAGGCAGCAGUGGGGAAUCUUAGACAAUGGGGGCAACCCUGAUCUAGCCAUGCCGCGUGAGAGAUGAAGGCCUUAGGGUUGUAAAGCUCUUUCAGCUGGGAAGAUAAUGACGGUACCAGCAGAAGAAGCCCCGGCUAACUCCGUG